Molecule: ribosomal RNA, 500 nt
Filed under: uncultured Myrionecta
Lineage: Eukaryota; Ciliophora; Litostomatea; Cyclotrichida; Mesodiniidae
Description: bacterial SSU rRNA
Rfam family: Eukaryotic small subunit ribosomal RNA
Source: RNAcentral
AAAACUUACCAGGUCAAGACAUGGGCGUGAUUGACAGGCUAAUGACUUUUCUCGAUUCCAUGGAUGGUGGUGCAUGGUCGCACUUAGUUGGUGCAGUGAUUUGUCAGGUUUAUUCCGGUAACGAACGAGACCUCGGCCUUGUAAAUAGCUAUGCUGCUUACAGGGACAUUGGCGGCUACGCCAAGGAAGCUCGAGGCAAUUGCAGAUCUGGAAUGCCCUUAGAUGUCCUGGGUCGCACGCGUGCUACAAUGACGCCACGAACGAGCUUGCGUGAUGAAAGUUACGCAUAAUCAGCAGUCGGCGUCUUAAGGGAUAGUCUCUUGUAACUGUGGGACUCCAACUGGGAAUGUCUCGUAAGCACAAGUCAACAUCUUGUGUUGAUUACGUCCCUGCUCUUUGUACACACCGCCCGUCGCUCCUACCGAUCGAGUGUUUAGGUGAAUUUGAUGGACGUAAGGAAGUCAAAUAAACCUGAGCACUAGAGAAGAGAGUCGAGUGCC